GUAACCUGCCCCUGACUCUGGGAUAAGCGUUGGAAACGACACUCUAAUACUGGAUAUGAUCACUGGCCGAAUGGUCUGGUGCUGGAAAGAUUUUUCGGUUGGAUAUGGACUCGCGGCCUAUCAUCUUGUUGGUGAGGUAAUGGCUCACCAAGGCGACUACGGGUAGCCGGCCUGAGAGGAUGACCGGCCACACUGGGACUGAGACACGGCCCAUACUCCUACGGGAGGCAGCAGUGGGGAAUAUUGCACAAUGGGCGAAAGCCUGAUGCCGCAACGCCGCGUGAGGGAUGACGGCCUUCUUGUUGUAAACCUCUUUUAGUAGGGAAGAAGCGAAAGUGACGGUACCUGCUUAAUAAGCACCUGCUAACUACAUGCCAGCAGCCGCGGUAAUACGUAGGGUGCAAGCGUUGUCCGGAAUUAUUGGGCGUAAAGAGCUCGUAUGCGGUUUGUCGCGUCUGCUGUGAAAUCCCGAGGCUCAACCUCUGGCUUGCCGUGGGUACGGGCAGACUACAGUGCGGUAAGGGAGAUUGGAAUUCCUGGUGUAGCGGGGGAAUGCGCAUAUAUCAGGAGGAACACCGAUGGCGAAGGCAGAUCUCUGGGCCGUAACUG
RNAcentral lists this ribosomal RNA (609 nucleotides) under Curtobacterium sp. KBS0715. RNAcentral's name for it is "bacterial SSU rRNA". It matches the Rfam family "Bacterial small subunit ribosomal RNA", at positions 121 to 742 of the family's 1533-position model. The record is from RNAcentral. Lineage: Bacteria; Bacillati; Actinomycetota; Actinomycetes; Micrococcales; Microbacteriaceae.